AGUGAACGCUGGCGGUAGGCCUAACACAUGCAAGUCGAACGGCAGCACAGUAAGAGCUUGCUCUUACGGGUGGCGAGUGGCGGACGGGUGAGGAAUACAUCGGAAUCUACUUUUUCGUGGGGGAUAACGUAGGGAAACUUACGCUAAUACCGCAUACGACCUACGGGUGAAAGCAGGGGAUCUUCGGACCUUGCGCGAUUGAAUGAGCCGAUGUCGGAUUAGCUAGUUGGCGGGGUAAAGGCCCACCAAGGCGACGAUCCGUAGCUGGUCUGAGAGGAUGAUCAGCCACACUGGAACUGGGACACGGUCCAGACUCCUACGGGAGGCAGCAGUGGGGAAUAUUGGACAAUGGGCGCAAGCCUGAUCCAGCCAUACCGCGUGGGUGAAGAAGGCCUUCGGGUCGUAAAGCCCUUUUGUUGGGAAAGAAAAGCAGCAGGUUAAUACCCCGCUGUUCUGACGGUACCCAAAGAAUAAGCACCGGCUAACUUCGUG
This 492-nucleotide ribosomal RNA is filed under the name uncultured bacterium. RNAcentral describes it as "partial 16S ribosomal RNA". It matches the Rfam family "Bacterial small subunit ribosomal RNA", at positions 29 to 507 of the family's 1533-position model. The record is from RNAcentral.